AACGAACGCUGGCGGCAGGCCUAACACAUGCAAGUCGAACGUGAAGCCACCUUCGGGUGGUGGAAAGUGGCAGACGGGUGAGUAACGCGUGGGAACGUGCCUUUCGGUUCGGGAUAACCCGGGGAAACUUGGGCUAAUACCGGAUACGCCCUUCGGGGGAAAGAUUCAUCGCCGAAAGAUCGGCCCGCGUCGGAUUAGCUUGUUGGUGGGGUAAAAGCCUACCAAGGCGACGAUCCGUAGCUGGUCUGAGAGGAUGAUCAGCCACACUGGGACUGAGACACGGCCCAGACUCCUACGGGAGGCAGCAGUGGGGAAUAUUGGACAAUGGGCGCAAGCCUGAUCCAGCCAUGCCGCGUGGGUGAAGAAGGCCCUAGGGUUGUAAACCCCUUUCAGCGGGGAAGAUAAUGACGGUACCCGCAGAAGAAGCCCCGGCUAACUCCGUG
This 443-nucleotide ribosomal RNA is filed under the name uncultured bacterium. RNAcentral's name for it is "bacterial SSU rRNA". It matches the Rfam family "Bacterial small subunit ribosomal RNA", at positions 29 to 507 of the family's 1533-position model. The record is from RNAcentral.